Molecule: ribosomal RNA, 277 nt
Filed under: uncultured bacterium
Lineage: Bacteria
Description: partial 16S ribosomal RNA
Rfam family: Bacterial small subunit ribosomal RNA
Source: RNAcentral
CUUAUGUCUGGGCUACACACGUGCUACAUGGCCCGCACAAAGGGUAGCGAGACCGCGAGGUGGAGCCAAUCCCAAAAAACGCGUCCCAGUCCGGAUUGAAGUCUGCAACUCGACUCCUUGAAGUCGGAAUCGCUAGUAAUUCGAGAUCAGCAUGCUCGGGUGAAUGCGUUCCCGGGCCUUGUACACACCGCCCGUCACACCACGAAAGUCGGUUUUACCCGAAGCCGGUGAGCUAACUCGCAAGAGGAGCAUCCGUCUACGGUACGGCCGAUGAUUG